Molecule: ribosomal RNA, 743 nt
Filed under: Vibrio jasicida CAIM 1864 = LMG 25398
Lineage: Bacteria; Pseudomonadati; Pseudomonadota; Gammaproteobacteria; Vibrionales; Vibrionaceae
Description: bacterial SSU rRNA
Rfam family: Bacterial small subunit ribosomal RNA
Source: RNAcentral
UUAGAUACCCUGGUAGUCCACGCCGUAAACGAUGUCUACUUGGAGGUUGUGGCCUUGAGCCGUGGCUUUCGGAGCUAACGCGUUAAGUAGACCGCCUGGGGAGUACGGUCGCAAGAUUAAAACUCAAAUGAAUUGACGGGGGCCCGCACAAGCGGUGGAGCAUGUGGUUUAAUUCGAUGCAACGCGAAGAACCUUACCUACUCUUGACAUCCAGAGAACUUUCCAGAGAUGGAUUGGUGCCUUCGGGAACUCUGAGACAGGUGCUGCAUGGCUGUCGUCAGCUCGUGUUGUGAAAUGUUGGGUUAAGUCCCGCAACGAGCGCAACCCUUAUCCUUGUUUGCCAGCGAGUAAUGUCGGGAACUCCAGGGAGACUGCCGGUGAUAAACCGGAGGAAGGUGGGGACGACGUCAAGUCAUCAUGGCCCUUACGAGUAGGGCUACACACGUGCUACAAUGGCGCAUACAGAGGGCAGCAAGCUAGCGAUAGUGAGCGAAUCCCAAAAAGUGCGUCGUAGUCCGGAUUGGAGUCUGCAACUCGACUCCAUGAAGUCGGAAUCGCUAGUAAUCGUGGAUCAGAAUGCCACGGUGAAUACGUUCCCGGGCCUUGUACACACCGCCCGUCACACCAUGGGAGUGGGCUGCAAAAGAAGUAGGUAGUUUAACCUUCGGGAGGACGCUUACCACUUUGUGGUUCAUGACUGGGGUGAAGUCGUAACAAGGUAGCGCUAGGGGAACCUGGCGCUG